RNAcentral lists this long non-coding RNA (1886 nucleotides) under Medicago truncatula (barrel medic). RNAcentral's name for it is "lncRNA gene9651". Lineage: Eukaryota; Viridiplantae; Streptophyta; Magnoliopsida; Fabales; Fabaceae. The record is from RNAcentral.
AAGUCCAAUUCAAAACAGAAACGUGUGAAAAAGACACAAGAAUGCGAAAUCAGAAAUGCUGUCAAAAGGCAUUUCGCUUAAGCGAACGAUUAUUCGCUUAAGCGAACUGCUUACAGUAGCUGUUCGCUUACAGCUCGCUUCCGGUUCGCUUAAGCGAACAGUCAUCAUUUCUGCAUAAUUUUUCACGGGUUUGAACCAUUUUUCACCCCAAAACCCAAAUUUUGAUCCCUCAAUGCCCAAAUGUGUUUCCAGAACAUGUUUAUAGGUUAAUAUGACUAAAAAGACUUACAAAGACACAAUCAAACUUGAAAACACUUGACACUUACGCUAACUCUUCAUUUUCACCAAAACACCAACACAAUUCAAAUUCUCAUCAUCAAUCCAUGAAUAUGCAUACCCAAGCAAUUAUUCAUCAAUCAUAAUAUCAAAUAACAUUCAUAACAUCAUUUGAACAAGAAUCACAACUCAAAUUAACAACAACUUAGGAGAAAUUCACCACUUUAGCACAAUCUUCAUAACUUAUCACUUUUGCAUAUAUGAACAUGUAAUUUCACCAACAAUUAUACAACUAACAUCAAUUCAUGCAUACAAACAUAACAUCACAGCAAGAGCACGAAUUUAGCAUGAAUUGUUCAUCAACCCAUUUUCAUACAACAUGAGAAAAUGCAAAAUUACACAUGAUUAUGAUAAUAACUAACCCCCUUACCUUUGAAGUUGAUUAUCCUUAAUCCUAGUUUCAAUUCAGCUCCUAGGUCACCCACUUGAUUCCUAAAGCUUCCCUUCAACCCUCUUGUUCUUCUCUUCUUCUCUUCUCUCUCUACCUCUCCUUCUCUCUAUGAAAAUUGUUUUGUGAAAAUGAAUACAAUUCUAAGACAACCCUAGUGUUAUCCCCCUUAAUGGGCUUAACUCAAAAUGCUAAUGGGCCUAACCUAUUCUAACACAAUUCAAAAGUUUCUAUACACUCGACGGUAAUUACUAACGACGGUAAAAUAUAACCAACGGUUACUAACGGUAAAAACUAAUCACUCCACUAGUAACUUAGUAAAAUAAGGGUUCUCACUAAUUAUAAAAUAAUUCUCACCAAAAUUACCAUUUUACCCUUACCCGUCAAAUGACCAAAAUACCCUUCUAAUACGGUAAUCCAUUUAAAUGCACCCAAUGACAAUUAAAUACACACAAGCACAAUUAAUCACAUACAAUCACACAAUAAAAGUAAUUAAAUAAAACUAGCUAAAAAUCGGGCUGUUACACGUGGCACCUCACUUAUGGGGUGUGGGUGCCACGUCAGCGAAGACUAAGUCAAAAGUGACCUUCGGGGCCAAAACUGCCAAAAUGCAAUACAUAGGGGGCUGUUUUGUAUUUUAAUUGAUUAGGGGGCCAAAAUCGCAACUUUUGAAAAGAUAGGGGCCAAAAGUGCAAUUAAGUCUAAAAUAAAUUAUUACUUAUAUAAGAAUUAAAAAAUAUCAUUAAGGGAGACCUAGGGUCGGCUCUUGGGAGGUGCAAACAACUUUAUUGAGCUGAGCCUCCAAAAAUUUUGGCCCAAUUUUUUUUUUAAUAAAUAAUGCACUUAAAUUAUUAAUAUAUGUAUAUAGAAUAGCAUUAAAAAAUUUGCAAUGCUGAAGGCAUGGCCCUAUUGGUAAAACUCGAAGAUGUUGCACUUGGGGACCUCGGUUCAACCCGGAGAGGGAAGAUAAUAGGGCCUCUUUUGCGCAUAUUAUUUUUAUGGAUUUGAGGUUUAUAUAUCAUAAAUACUCCAUUUUUCUUUUUCAAUUCAACUCCUCUACAUAUUUGCAAAUAAAAAUACAAUAUAACUUUUUUUUAUUGUAUUUUUAGAGCACUUGUAAUUUUUGGCACAUACUUGUCGUAUAAAAUAGCAAAGCUCUAAC